RNAcentral lists this ribosomal RNA (253 nucleotides) under uncultured bacterium. RNAcentral describes it as "partial 16S ribosomal RNA". It matches the Rfam family "Bacterial small subunit ribosomal RNA", at positions 524 to 776 of the family's 1533-position model. The record is from RNAcentral.
UACGAAGGGUGCAAGCGUUGUUCGGAUUUAUUGGGCGUAAAGCGCGCGUAGGCGGACCUGCAAGUCAGAUGUGAAAUCUCGGGGCUCAACCUCGAAACUGCGUCUGAAACUACAGGUCUAGAAUCUUGGAGGGGGUAGGGGAAUUUCAGGUGUAGCGGUGAAAUGCGUAGAUAUCUGAAGGAACAUCAGUGGCGAAAGCGACUUCCUGGACCAAUACUGACGCUCAUGUGCGAAAGCGUGGGGAGCAAACAGG